RNAcentral lists this ribosomal RNA (770 nucleotides) under uncultured bacterium. RNAcentral's name for it is "bacterial SSU rRNA". It matches the Rfam family "Bacterial small subunit ribosomal RNA", at positions 1 to 745 of the family's 1533-position model. The record is from RNAcentral.
CCGCGGGAUUAGAGUUUGAUCCUGGCUCAGAGCGAACGCUGGCGGCGUACUUAACACAUGCAAGUCGAACGAGGAUCGUCGGUGUAGCAAUACAUUGGCGGUCCUAGUGGCGCACGGGUGAGUAACACGUGGGUGACCUGCCCUUGAGCUCGGGAUACCCCCUCGAAAGGGGGGCUAAUACCGGAUACGUUCCUCGGUCGAAAGACUGAGGAGGAAAGGUGGCGCAAGCUGCCGCUCUUGGAGGGGCUCGCGGCCUAUCAGCUAGUUGGCGGGGUAACGGCCCACCAAGGCUAUGACGGGUAGCUGGUCUGAGAGGACGACCAGCCACACGGGGACUGAGACACGGCCCCGACUCCUACGGGAGGCAGCAGUGGGGAAUUUUCCGCAAUGGGCGAAAGCCUGACGGAGUGACGCCGCGUGUGGGACGAAGGCCUUCGGGUCGUAAACCACUGUCAGUGGGAAAGAUGGGUGUCGGUGUUAAUACCAUCGGCAUCUGACGGUACCUGCAGAGGAAGCCCCGGCCAACUCUGUGCCAGCAGCCGCGGUAAGACAGAGGGGGCAAGCGUUGCUCGGAAUUACUGGGCGUAAAGGGCGCGUAGGCGGGAUGGUAAGUCGGUCGUGAAAUCCCUCGGCUCAACCGAGGAACGUCGAUCGAUACUACCGUUCUUGAGGGUUGCAGAGGAGACUGGAAUUCCCGGUGUAGCGGUGAAAUGUGUAGAGAUCGGGAGGAACACCGGUGGCGAAGGCGGGUCUCUGGGCAAUUCCUGACG